RNAcentral lists this ribosomal RNA (482 nucleotides) under uncultured bacterium. RNAcentral describes it as "partial 16S ribosomal RNA". It matches the Rfam family "Bacterial small subunit ribosomal RNA", at positions 30 to 507 of the family's 1533-position model. The record is from RNAcentral.
AUUGAACGCUGGCGGCAUGCCUUACACAUGCAAGUCGAACGGUAACAGGCUGCGAGGUGCUGAUGACUGGUGCACGGGUGAGUACUGGAGCGGAACGCGCCCAAACGUCGGGGAUAAUUACUCGAAAGGGUAGCUAAUACCGCAUACGAUCUAUGGCUGAAAGCGGGUGACCGUAAGGCCUCGUGGGAUCUGACCCGACGAUGUCAGCUUAGGUAGUUGUUGGGGUAAAGGGCCACCAAGCCGACGCUCUGUAGCUGGUCUGAGAGGACGACCAGCCACACUGGAACUGAGACACGGCCCAGACUCCUACGGGAGGCAGCAGUGGGGAAUUUUGGACAAUGGGCGCAAGCCUGAUCCAGCAAUGCCGCGUGCAUGAAGAAGGCCUUCGGGUUGUAAACUGCUUUUGUGCGGAACGAAACGCCUCUGGUUAAUACCCCGGGCUUCUGACGGUACCGUAAGAAUAAGCACCGGCUAACUACGUG